Molecule: ribosomal RNA, 1440 nt
Filed under: uncultured bacterium
Lineage: Bacteria
Description: 16S ribosomal RNA
Rfam family: Bacterial small subunit ribosomal RNA
Source: RNAcentral
UGGCUCAGGAUGAACGCUAGCUACAGGCUUAACACAUGCAAGUCGAGGGGCAGCAUGGUCUUAGCUUGCUAAGGCCGAUGGCGACCGGCGCACGGGUGAGUAACACGUAUCCAACCUGCCGUCUACUCUUGGACAGCCUUCUGAAAGGAAGAUUAAUACAAGAUGGCAUCAUGAGUCCGCAUGUUCACAUGAUUAAAGGUAUUCCGGUAGACGAUGGGGAUGCGUUCCAUUAGAUAGUAGGCGGGGUAACGGCCCACCUAGUCUUCGAUGGAUAGGGGUUCUGAGAGGAAGGUCCCCCACAUUGGAACUGAGACACGGUCCAAACUCCUACGGGAGGCAGCAGUGAGGAAUAUUGGUCAAUGGGCGAGAGCCUGAACCAGCCAAGUAGCGUGAAGGAUGACUGCCCUAUGGGUUGUAAACUUCUUUUAUAAAGGAAUAAAGUCGGGUAUGGAUACCCGUUUGCAUGUACUUUAUGAAUAAGGAUCGGCUAACUCCGUGCCAGCAGCCGCGGUAAUACGGAGGAUCCGAGCGUUAUCCGGAUUUAUUGGGUUUAAAGGGAGCGUAGAUGGAUGUUUAAGUCAGUUGUGAAAGUUUGCGGCUCAACCGUAAAAUUGCAGUUGAUACUGGAUAUCUUGAGUGCAGUUGAGGCAGGCGGAAUUCGUGGUGUAGCGGUGAAAUGCUUAGAUAUCACGAAGAACUCCGAUUGCGAAGGCAGCCUGCUAAGCUGCAACUGACAUUGAGGCUCGAAAGUGUGGGUAUCAAACAGGAUUAGAUACCCUGGUAGUCCACACGGUAAACGAUGAAUACUCGCUGUUUGCGAUAUACUGCAAGCGGCCAAGCGAAAGCGUUAAGUAUUCCACCUGGGGAGUACGCCGGCAACGGUGAAACUCAAAGGAAUUGACGGGGGCCCGCACAAGCGGAGGAACAUGUGGUUUAAUUCGAUGAUACGCGAGGAACCUUACCCGGGCUUAAAUUGCAGAUGAAUUACGGUGAAAGCCGUAAGCCGCAAGGCAUCUGUGAAGGUGCUGCAUGGUUGUCGUCAGCUCGUGCCGUGAGGUGUCGGCUUAAGUGCCAUAACGAGCGCAACCCUUGUUGUCAGUUACUAACAGGUUCCGCUGAGGACUCUGACAAGACUGCCAUCGUAAGAUGUGAGGAAGGUGGGGAUGACGUCAAAUCAGCACGGCCCUUACGUCCGGGGCUACACACGUGUUACAAUGGGGGGUACAGAGGGCCGCUACCACGCGAGUGGAUGCCAAUCCCCAAAACCUCUCUCAGUUCGGACUGGAGUCUGCAACCCGACUCCACGAAGCUGGAUUCGCUAGUAAUCGCGCAUCAGCCACGGCGCGGUGAAUACGUUCCCGGGCCUUGUACACACCGCCCGUCAAGCCAUGGGAGCCGGGGGUACCUGAAGUGCGUAACCGCGAGGAGCGCCCUAGGGUA